UACAGAGGGGGCAAGCGUUGUUCGGAAUUACUGGGCGUAAAGGGCGCGUAGGCGGCCUUCUAAGUCGAACGUGAAAUCCCCGGGCUCAACCCGGGAACUGCGUCCGAUACUGGAAGGCUUGAAUCCGGGGGAGGGAUGUGGAAUUCCAGGUGUAGCGGUGAAAUGCGUAGAUAUCUGGAGGAACACCGGUGGCGAAGGCGGUUCUCUGGGCCUUACCUGACGCUGAGGAGCGAAAGCGUGGGGAGCAAACAGG
This 253-nucleotide ribosomal RNA is filed under the name uncultured bacterium. RNAcentral's name for it is "partial 16S ribosomal RNA". It matches the Rfam family "Bacterial small subunit ribosomal RNA", at positions 524 to 776 of the family's 1533-position model. The record is from RNAcentral.